This 330-nucleotide unclassified non-coding RNA is filed under the name uncultured fungus. RNAcentral's name for it is "partial contains 5.8S ribosomal RNA and internal transcribed spacer 2". The stretch from base 1 to 133 matches the Rfam family "5.8S ribosomal RNA", at positions 22 to 154 of the family's 154-position model. Lineage: Eukaryota; Fungi. The record is from RNAcentral.
UGGUUCUGGCAUCGAUGAAGAACGCAGCGAAAUGCGAUAAGUAAUGUGAAUUGCAGAAUUCAGUGAAUCAUCGAAUCUUUGAACGCACAUUGCGCCCCUUGGCAUUCCGGGGGGCAUGCCCGUUCGAGCGUCAUGCACAAACCUCAAGCCUGGCUUGGUAUUGGGCCCCGGGACCAACCCGGACCUCAAAUGCGUCGGCCAUUGGGAGUGCUGCAGCCGGCGCCGUAACCACUUACUGGCGCGCGGCUCGCACGGCCCGCCUCACGCGUCCGCGUCGGUCGUCGACCGAAACACGAGUUUGACCUCGGAUCGGGUAGGAAUACCCGCUGA